This 4045-nucleotide long non-coding RNA is filed under the name Homo sapiens (human). RNAcentral describes it as "PREDICTED lncRNA (TCONS_00188971)". The stretch from base 492 to 767 matches the Rfam family "SOX2 overlapping transcript exon 3". The record is from RNAcentral. Lineage: Eukaryota; Metazoa; Chordata; Mammalia; Primates; Hominidae.
GUCGUAAAAGGGGACGCGGAGGAGAAGGAAAGUCGCUCAAGCAGUGGACAGAGCGGAGAAAGCGACUUCGGCCGCAGAGAGAAGAAGCUGCCCAAGAAUGGAAAGGAAGAAAUAUAUCACAUCAUCUGUCUGUCCACAGGCUUUCCUUGGGGCUUAUGAAGUGAAUGAAGGAGGGAAGAAAGGAGAGACAGAGAAAAUAUGGAUUUCCUCAUGGUUGUGAUUCCUCUUCACUCUUUUGAAUUUGGAAGGAUGGCAUACACAUCUGAAAAAUACCACUACUUCCUUCAUUGGACUGCAAGGUAUUUCUGUUUGGAAAAGUAAUGGAGUCCAGUCAACUUCAUUGAUCGCCAAGGACUGUCAAAAUUAUAAAACUUGCUGUGGAGCUCUGACAUGCCAGAAGCCGCUAGAAAAAGAAGUUUGACAUUCAGAAACUUAUCAAGAGGUUCUACUCUUUGGAUAGAGACCAAAAUCAUACUUUGAAGGGAUUGCAGUGGCAAAGCUAGGCUAGGUCUUGGAGGCUGGUGUAAGGCGAUGUGGGUGAAGGCAGGAGGCUGAUGGAAAGACUGGGGGGAAGAAAAGCCGAAAUGGAUUCACGGUGCCUUGGAUGAAGGACGAGAGGGGAACUGCAAGCUCCUUCAACUGGUUCUGUCCGGUGAGAAGUGAUCAAGCUUGGGCUGACAAGAGGCUCAGGGAGCCCUCACGUUCUUUCGCUUUUUUACCUGCCAAUCAAACUGCUACAAGACAACACCCUGAUCUGGCAUGGACAUCGCGGGUCCAAGCCUGUAGCCCCAAAUCGGAUAAUCUCUGCAGCUGAUAACAAGCAAAAGAGAAGCCAGGCAACAGCCAUAUUAAAGAAGAAAACAAUCAACUCUGAGCAGGAAGAAAUGUAAUGAAUUGAGUGCUGUCAGAGAUGUCUUCUGUUUGAACAAUCUGCGAUGGGCUGAAUGGCAGGGACUCCCUCAUCCAGUGCAGACACAGCCCAGGCAGACAGAAGGAAACGGAGCAUUAAUCCAACUGCAGUCACCCCAAAGUACAGGCCAUUUGGAUCCAGAAGAGAAACUGGUUCCUUCUACAAGCUCUCCCGUUCUCCCUGGGGCCCUUCACAGCCUCCUUGUCUACGUUGUGGCUGUGCUUUCCCUGAUCCAACUUAGAAAUAAUGUUUCAUUCAAGAUAAGGCUCGUGGCUUAGGAGAUUGUGACCUGGCUUGCAUCAUUCUAAGACUUCUAUCGUCUGUUUUCAAAACCCAAGGAGGACCUCCUUUUCUGUGUGAUAGUUCCUCAUGCUUUGCCAGCCACUGGGUCUUUAAGGAAGCUUGCCAAGAGUUCCCGGCUGGGAAGGACAGUUCGAGUUCAUCAUAGACAAUGAGCUGGCACCACAGUUUAAGUGACUCACCAACCUGGUUGCCCACUUCAAAAUGUCAAGAACCACACUAUCUAAUUGAAAGAACUGUGUUUUAGCAAAGUGUAAUUGGAUCGCCUGGCAAGAUCAUCUCAAACUAUGUCUCUGACCUUGCCUUUCAGUGGCUAUUUUGAGCACAAGAGGAGAAAGGAAAUGAUUCCUGAAUUAUAUCUUGUUUUUAAAAAUUAAGAUUAAUUAAUACUUGGUUUUAUGUUCAUUCCAUUGUAGGAACUUAGUGAUUAUUACAAAACAGUCAAAAUAGGUCAUAGCAAAAUGAACGUUUAAGAUUAGGUUAAAACAUUCCUCUGAAAUUUUAGUAUUCACUUUUGAAGUGUCAAUUACUAUAUUUCUGUAAUUUCUCAUUUUUUUCUUGGCUUAGAGUCAAGAUGAAAAAUGAUAUUUGAAUCAAAGACAUUGUUUUGUUAUAUAGCCACUCCUUUCUAAAAUGCAAAUCCACCCUCCCCUCACCAAUGCUUUAUUCUUUGUGCGCGCACACACACACACACACACACACACACACACACACACACACAGACAUACACAGAACCAGCACCCAAAUGGUAGAGGAGGUCCUUCCAAGACUUCUAGGACCUGGAUCAUGUAAGCAGUAGAUGAGAAAAUGAAGUAAGAGAUAUAGAGUAAUAACAAUAAAAGUCAAUGAUUUCAUUUUACAAAAAAGUCAUUGUGUAGUACUCAGAUAUUUUUAAGAGCAAGUAUUAUUAUGACUAAAGUAUAUUAUACUUCUAAAUUAUUAUGAUUCUCAUCUAAUUUCAAGCCACACAUAGGCGCCAUUUGAAAGCAUUUUGUGUUACAACCUAUCAACAAAAAUCAACUAAUAGUUUUAUAACGUGCAUAGGUUUACCCCAUGGGGAAUUAAAAUUUUUAUCUGCAAGUAUUUCUGUUGUUGUGAGACUUUAGGACAAGACAACAUUUGGUGUUAACAUAGAAGAAUAUUCUAUGGCUUUUUUAGCUUUAAAGUUCAUUACUCUAAAAUAAAGUACACGUGGUAUUUUUUUCUUCCUAGUGUUCUCUUAUUAUAUGUAGAGUAUUUUCGGUUGUUGUUUUUAACGUAUACAUUAUUUUUAUUAAGUCAUUUCAUAAAAGAUAAGAUAUAUACUAAUAGACCCUUGGUUUUCUCCUAAUUUAAUUAUUUCAAGUCAAGCAAAAUUGGGCAAUUUUCUUUCAGGAAAAAAAAAAUAUUGAGCAUGAUUUUGAGGUAAAACUGAUUAUUUACAGCAUCUUUUCUCUAAUAGGCUAACAUUUAUGAUGGAUCUUAUUUCAAAGUUGAUUAUUCUCAAAGAAAAGUGGAGAUAUUAGAAUUUCCGAGUAAAUUGCAUUGUUUUAAAAAGUACUUUAAUGCAUUGUUCACAUUGUUGCCAGCUAUUGACCAAAAAAGAGAAGAAGAAAAAAGAAAUAAAAAAAGCAGUAUCUGCUCCAAACGUCAAGUUUUGCAGUUUGAAAGACUUGUACAUUAUAAUUGUUUUUUUCUUUUUUGGAAAGCAGUAGUAAUUAAUACCAAAGGCAUAGACAAUUUAGGGCCAUAACCUCCCUUCCCCCCUCUCCACCUUUUUUUUUUUUUUUUUUUUUUUUUAACUUUAACCAUGAUAGGCAUCUCUGCAAGGUAGGUUUUAACAUAUUUUUUUCCUAAUUUUUUUCCCUCCAUUCAGUAAGAAGGAUAAGCUUUUAGAGUACCCAGUCACCGUGGUAACUGCCAAAAAAAUUCUCCUGAAGUUUGAAGAGGUCAGCUAGCAGGGUCAACAACCCUGGCCUCUCUCUGAGCUCGGUCUAGCAUGCCCCAGCCUGCGGUUGGAGUGUCAGGCCAGAUCUGACCCUGGGAGGUGGACCAUUCUGGCUCUGAUAUAAAUUUUUCGAGUCAGUUCAUGGCCUGGACUCUCCAGGUGGCCUCCAAAAUCGAUUUUGACCCCCUGACCCUGUCUCACGGAGGCAUAGCAUCCACCCUAAGUAAGGAUUUAGCCAGGAAUGACAGCUUUCCACUGAGUGUUAUUGGGGACAGUAUAAACAGUUUGGAAAGCAAGUAAGGAGGUGUGAGGGCUAGCAAUCAUUAAAAGCACAUUAAAAAACAAUUUUUAAAAAUCUUUAUUAGAGAAAGUUGUAAAUGCAUAUCUGUUACAGAAUUCCUGUGAUUUGUAGAGUUUUCUAGUCAGUUUUGAAUAUAAAUAGGUCACAUAUCUUUAUCUUUUUGCAUACUUUGUUACAAAUAUGCAAAUAAGAUAGGCAUACUUGCUACAAAAUAGGUACAGCAGGAAUGUAAUAUGUUCAGAAAAGGCAAACUGGUUAUUAAAACACAUUAACAGGUAAGGAGUUUCUAAUAUUUUAAAUACUAAAAUUUUACAUGUGUAUUUUGAAGUUUUUAAAAUGGAAAAAUAAAGAACCUUUAAAAAACCCAACAGUGUGGAAUAAAGAUAAACUUGUUGCACUCAAGGUACAUUUCUACUUUGUAAAGCAAGAAGCCAAUACACUCAGUUGGAUAAAAAUGAGAGAAAAAUUGUAAAUAUAGAGAGUUACAGCUUAUAGAGCUGAAGAGGAAUAAAACAAAAAAAAGUGUCUCUGAAUAACUUUAUGUAUUUUCAACAGUUUAAGAUAUCAGAAACUUGGAAAAUAAAUAUGAUAUAUAUAUAAAUCAUCA